Molecule: long non-coding RNA, 1046 nt
Organism: Centrocercus urophasianus (Greater sage-grouse)
Lineage: Eukaryota; Metazoa; Chordata; Aves; Galliformes; Phasianidae
Exons: 2
Source: RefSeq, a predicted model, not a curated record
GGUUAUGAGCAAUCUUGUGUUUGCGGAUCGUAGCUAGCUCUCGUGUGACGUUUUCCUGAGCCCCGAAAGUUCACGGUGCAGUCGCUGUGUUGCCUUCAUCUUGCAGCUUCCUAGCCUUCAUCUAGGCUUAGCUUCCUAGCGAGCGAUGUGCUCUUGCUGCCGAGAAGGCUAAUGGUAUCCAGGGCUCUGUUAGGCAAAGUAUUGCCAGCGGGUCAAGAGAGGUGAUCAUUCCAUUCUACUCAACAUUGCUAAGUGCUGGCUCUAGUUCCAGGCUCCCCAGUACGAGAAAGAUGGUUGUAUUGGUAGGAGCCCAAUGAAGGGCCACCGGUGUGCUGGAGGCUGGAGUGCCUCAUCUGGGAGGAGAGCUGGGGCUGUUCAGCCUGGAGGAGAGGAGACUCAGCUGUCUAUUUUAUCGAAUUCUAUAAACACCUGAAUUGUUAUUUGUAGGUGCGUAGAAAGGGCACAUGCUGCCCAGAGAGGCUGUGCGGACUCUUCCUUAGAAAUAUCCAAGAGCUGAAUCUCCAAGAGCUAUUUGGCCGUGGGCCUGGCGCCCUGCUGCUGGGGCAGGGACUGGAAUAGAUGAGUUCCAGAGUUCCCUUCCAACCUCUAAUGUUGGCUGAUUCUGUAUGAGCCUACAUUUUUACCUGCUUCUGAAACACCAGUUCCCGACUCUGGCUAGCCUCUGCAAUUGUUGAAAUUCCAACAUCAAGGAAUUUGGGAUUUUUCCUGGAAUCUCAGCUCAAGUGCUGUGAGGGAGCAAAAUCUCACCAUAGCCUGUCUCCAAACCAGCCAGACUGAUACAACCCCUGUGCAGCUCCACAGGGCUGUAGUUCCUUUCAGCACGCUCUCAGUUGUGCUGUGCAGGACACAGCUGCGCUCAGCUGAUCAAGCAGCUCUGCAGCUCUUCAGGAGCUCAUGAUUGAUGGAGGUGGAUCUCAUGAAUCUGACAUUUUUAUUGCUUGAUACUGAUGCAAAAUGAUGUGUUCAUUGUAUAACAUCAUGACAGCUAAAAUAUUUACUCAAUAAAUUGGAGGUCUUGCAUUAAA